Molecule: long non-coding RNA, 383 nt
Organism: Equus caballus (horse)
Lineage: Eukaryota; Metazoa; Chordata; Mammalia; Perissodactyla; Equidae
Source: RefSeq, a predicted model, not a curated record
UCAGAUGAGAGGAUGAGAAGCAACAAGUAUCCAGUAUUCUGAAGGAUGUCAUUAUGGGGUUGCCUAGGUGACUCACUAGGAUGUAUCAUCAUGUUAUGCCUCAGACUCUUUUGGAGAACAACUGUCUGAAAAAAGGUUUGGAUGGUGGGAGGAGUGGAGAGAGAGCAUAAUGGCACUCAGGAUCUUAGCCUUGACAAAGAGACAACACCAGCUAUAAAACAGCUUGCUUUUUUCACUCAGUAUUAUGGUUUGGGAUUCAAUGACAGGCCUUUAUAACCCAACCUCAUUCAGUCACCAGAUGCUGGCUGCCCCAGGAAGAUCGUCACCUUGGGCAAAGGGGCCUUCUGUGGCUGAGGCUGACCCCGAAGGAACUGAUAGCCAAU